GGGUAUAUAACUACUGUUUUCUUUUUAUUCUUGUGAUUCUCUUUAAACCUGUAUAUAACAUGUUGCUACUGAUUUGUGAUAAUUGUCUUGGUAUUUUCUCAGAACUGUCAAGUUGAGUUACUUUUCAAAUAACACAAGGCUCAUAUUUUUCCAUGUAAUUUCCUUUACAUAAGAAACUGUUCCUAUCAAUAAAGAUAGAUGUUCUUUGUAUAGGGUUUAUCAUAUUUGGAGAGCCAUAUACAGUAAAUACAUUGUUUAUUGAUGCCCACAAUAGAAUAGCUACAGUAUUUUGAUGAAAUUUUAUUUUUAGAUUAUAAACUGCAAGAUGUAUCUAUAGUGUCUUGUAUAAAAACAAUUGUGAUAAACUAGAAUUUUUAAAUUAGAUAAAACAAAGCUCCCCCCUUCCAGAGACCUUUUCAACAAAAUAAUACAUUCCAUAUUAACUACCAAAAAUAUUUAAAUUAAAAAAGAAAUCCUUAGAGUAGAAAUAGUAAAAAGAAAAAAUACCCAAGACAUUUUCAGUAAUGGAAGCAUUUUGUGGUACCCACUUUGUCAAUAUUUUGACUACUCUCUCAUCCAUUCUGGUUAGCAUUCUGAAUAUUUAUGGCACCUGCUGGAGCUUCUCACUCCUUUCACAUGGUCCUUUCCUCCAGCACAGCCAUCCCUGCUGCAGAGCCCCCACAAGGUCUGGACAGCUGGGGAGCAGUGGGAGGGCUCGGGGUCAUGACCAUGGCCAGUGGUGCAGUAGAUGCCAUGGGUAAUGCUAGUGGUGAUGGUUGCAGGGACUGCUCCCAAUGAGGGAAGGAAGCCGUAAGAGAACCAAAGAGGAGGAUGAGGGCUUUUAGACAGAGACCCAUAGGACAUGGAGAAGCAAUGUCUUCUGCUUUUCCUCUUCAAGUUAGUCUUCAUCUGGCACAUGAGAGACCUUAAGGCUUCUCCUUACAUUUCCCAGCCCUCCCCUGCUCUCCUUCAGCCCCGGCACAGUGGCCAGUCAACAAGUGCAUAAAGCUCCACAGGCUGGUGUUGCAGCUAAGGUGACAACAAAAGGCUGUGCCUGGCUAUUUUUAAGGACAAAAAGAAAAGUGUGGCAAGAUUUAAUUAUCCUUUGUUGCAAGAAAUACAUAAAUGAAAUCCUGGAUUCAGUUGCGGUGGAGAUCAAAUGGAGUCCCGCUGGAAGUGGGCAUCAGCUGGUCCCUCUGAAGGCAAUGGAUUUGCCCCUCCACUUGCACAAGGGUUGAACAUGACCUUAAAUGUCUACUUCUUCUCAUUAUGUGCAGUGAUAGAGUGUGAUGGGACCAGCUCCCAGAAGCAUGCAUGACCUACAUGCAGCAUUUCCUGAAGCAAAGGAAAACUUGCUCAGUAGUAAUCUUUUAGUGAAGAUUCUGUACAUAACACGCAUGAGUGAAUGGCAAUACUGUACUAAUGGAUGUACAUUUGUAACAUUUGUAAAAAAGAAAAAGAAACAAAAAAGGACAAGAGAAAAUAAAUCUGAAUUUACAUACGUGAAUUUGCUGCUAAAUUCUGUAAAUUGCACUUCAGUGAUACCUGAUAAGUGAAUGUUUCUGUUAAGUGAAUAAAAUGCCAAGUAAAAUUGUUCUUUCACUGUU
Long non-coding RNA from Gallus gallus (chicken), 1607 nucleotides. The record is from Ensembl. Lineage: Eukaryota; Metazoa; Chordata; Aves; Galliformes; Phasianidae.